GGCUCACUGCUCUUUACCAUUAAACACAGACGGAACCAUCUUCUCCCAUAGUGCUUAGCGGUGGGAAAGUCACCUCUGCAGCUAAAGGCUAAAAUAUCACCACGAUGGCUCCUCCUGUCGCUGUAUCGCCUCUUAUUAAGACGGCAAGAUAUUCAGCUCUAAUCGCUGGCAUCUUUUAUGGCAAGAAGAGAUAUGAACACCUGAAGCCCAUUGCUGCAGAGGAGAAAAGGAUAGCAGAGGAAGAGAAGAAGAUCCGUGAAGAGCAGGAGCGCAUUGCCAAGCAGCUAGCAGAAGCAAGUGAAGAUACCAUUUUGAAGUAAAGCUGAGUGAAGAUGCCCGCUUAUUUGUGCCGUUUUCUUGAGUCUUUUUAAGUAAAAGGAUGUGGAUUACUAUUGCUCAUAAACAUCUUUCUCACUAAAACCCCUUACACUCAUCAUUCAGUGAAGCUGCUUGAGAAUUAUGGGAACAGGAAUGCACCAUACAUUUGUUGUUUAUUGACAUGUGACCCAUAGAUUAGUGCUUUUUGGCACAUAAGAUAAAUAAACAU
Periophthalmus magnuspinnatus is the source of this 547-nucleotide long non-coding RNA. RefSeq lists it as uncharacterized. The record is from RefSeq and is a predicted model, not a curated record. The transcript has 4 exons. NCBI's taxonomy places the organism in Eukaryota, Metazoa, Chordata, Actinopteri, Gobiiformes, Gobiidae.